Cavia porcellus (domestic guinea pig) is the source of this 126-nucleotide small nucleolar RNA. Lineage: Eukaryota; Metazoa; Chordata; Mammalia; Rodentia; Caviidae. The record is from Ensembl.
CAGGACCAGUAUGAACUACAUAGCUGUUGGUGUCAAGUUGGAGCCCAAAGUGCUAUCUUCCUGUUGUCUGUUGGCCGUUUCAGAACUUUAGAAAUGUAAUGAUCAAUUCACUAGAAAGAAAUCCCC